GACAGAGGGGGCAAGCGUUGCUCGGAAUUACUGGGCGUAAAGGGCGCGUAGGCGGGACGGUAAGUCGGUCGUGAAAUCCUUCGGCUCAACCGAAGAACGUCGAUCGAUACUGCUGUUCUUGAGGGUUGCAGAGGAGACUGGAAUUCCCGGUGUAGCGGUGAAAUGUGUAGAGAUCGGGAGGAACACCGGUGGCGAAGGCGGGUCUCUGGGCAAUUCCUGACGCUGAGGCGCGAAAGCGUGGGGAGCAAACGGG
RNAcentral lists this ribosomal RNA (253 nucleotides) under uncultured bacterium. RNAcentral describes it as "partial 16S ribosomal RNA". It matches the Rfam family "Bacterial small subunit ribosomal RNA", at positions 524 to 776 of the family's 1533-position model. The record is from RNAcentral.